Molecule: ribosomal RNA, 232 nt
Filed under: uncultured bacterium
Lineage: Bacteria
Description: partial 16S ribosomal RNA
Rfam family: Bacterial small subunit ribosomal RNA
Source: RNAcentral
UACGAAGGGGGCUAGCGUUGUUCGGAAUUACUGGGCGUAAAGGGCGCGUAGGCGGCCGUUUAAGUUAGGUGUGAAAGUCCUGGGCUCAACCUGGGGACUGCACUUAAUACUGGAUGGCUUGAAUUCGGGAGAGGAUAGCGGAAUUCCCAGUGUAGAGGUGAAAUUCGUAGAUAUCGGGAGGAAUACCGGUGGCGAAGGCGACUUUCUGGACGAAUACUGACGCUGAGGCGCG